GGAGAGGUGGCCGAGCGGCCGAAGGCGCGGCACUGGAAAUGCCGUAUGGGCGAAAGUUCAUCGCGGGUUCAAAUCCCGCCCUCUCCG
This 87-nucleotide transfer RNA is filed under the name Planctomycetales bacterium. RNAcentral describes it as "tRNA-Ser". It matches the Rfam family "tRNA". From Rfam's summary of the family: Transfer RNA (tRNA) molecules are approximately 80 nucleotides in length. Their secondary structure includes four short double-helical elements and three loops (D, anti-codon, and T loops). Lineage: Bacteria; Pseudomonadati; Planctomycetota; Planctomycetia; Planctomycetales. The record is from RNAcentral.